This is a long non-coding RNA of Drosophila subpulchrella, 182 nucleotides long. RefSeq lists it as uncharacterized. The record is from RefSeq and is a predicted model, not a curated record. NCBI's taxonomy places the organism in Eukaryota, Metazoa, Arthropoda, Insecta, Diptera, Drosophilidae. The transcript is spliced from 2 exons.
UGGAUGACGAAAUGUUUUGUGGCAAAAAAAAUCCCGCAAAGGGUUUAUACACAGCUCUAAAAGGAGCGUUGGUAAUGGAUUCGGAGGACCUGGACAAAGGUUUAAGGAAAGCGAUGACCAAUGUAUAAAGCCAAUAACGUAACAUAAAACUAGGCUUACUAUAAUAAUUGUCCUUUAACAGA